ACCGGCGGACGGGUGCGUAACACGUGGGAAAAUACCUUUCGGUACGGAACAACUGAGGGAAACUUCAGCUAAUACCGUAUACGUCCUAACGGAGAAAGAUUUAUCGCCGAAGGAUUAGCCCGCGCUCGAUUAGCUAGUUGGUGAGGUAAUGGCUCACCAAGGCCACGAUCGAUAGCUGUUCUGAGAGGAAGAUCAGCCACACUGGGACUGAGACACGGCCCAGACUCCUACGGGAGGCAGCAGUUGGGAAUCUUGGACAAUGGGGGAAACCCUGAUCCAGCCAUGCCGCGUGAGUGAUGAAGGCCUUCGGGUUGUAAAGCUCUUUUACCCGGGAAGAUAAUGACUGUACCGGGAGAAUAAGCUCCGGCUAACUUCGUGCCAGCAGCCGCGGUAAUACGAAGGGGGCUAGCGUUGUUCGGAAUUACUGGGCGUAAAGCGCGCGCAGGCGGUUUUUCAAGUCAGUGGUGAAAGCCCGGAGCUCAACUCCGGAACUGCCAUUGA
RNAcentral lists this ribosomal RNA (501 nucleotides) under uncultured bacterium. Its description in RNAcentral is "bacterial SSU rRNA". It matches the Rfam family "Bacterial small subunit ribosomal RNA", at positions 94 to 630 of the family's 1533-position model. The record is from RNAcentral.